This 563-nucleotide ribosomal RNA is filed under the name Natrialba chahannaoensis. RNAcentral's name for it is "bacterial SSU rRNA". It matches the Rfam family "Archaeal small subunit ribosomal RNA", at positions 72 to 634 of the family's 1478-position model. Lineage: Archaea; Methanobacteriati; Methanobacteriota; Halobacteria; Halobacteriales; Natrialbaceae. The record is from RNAcentral.
AGACUCGUAGCAGAUAGCUCAGUAACACGUGGCCAAACUACCCUAUAGAUCCAGACAACCUCGGGAAACUGAGGCUAAUCCGGAAUAGGGCUCUCAUCCUGGAGUGGAGAGAGCCUGAAACGCUCCGGCGCUAUAGGAUGUGGCUGCGGCCGAUUAGGUAGACGGUGGGGUAACGGCCCACCGUGCCAGUAAUCGGUACGGGUUGUGAGAGCAAGAGCCCGGAGACGGUAUCUGAGACAAGAUACCGGGCCCUACGGGGCGCAGCAGGCGCGAAACCUUUACACUGCACGCCAGUGCGAUAAGGGGACUCCAAGUGCGAGGGCAUAUAGUCCUCGCUUUUUGCGACCGUAAGGUGGUCGAGGAAUAAGUGCUGGGCAAGACCGGUGCCAGCCGCCGCGGUAAUACCGGCAGCACGAGUGAUGACCGCUGUUAUUGGGCCUAAAGCGUCCGUAGCUGGCCGCACAAGUCUAUCGGGAAAUCUCUCCGCUUAACGGAGAGGCGUCCGGUGGAAACUGUGUGGCUUGGGACCGGAAGACCAGAGGGGUACGUCUGGGGUAGGAGUG